GCCAGGCAUGGUGGUGCAUGCCUGUAAUUCCAUCUACUUGGGAGGCUGAGGCAGGAGAAUUGCUCGAACCCAGGGAGGCAGAGGUAGCAGUGAGCCGAGAUUGCGCCACUGUAUUCCAGCCUGGGUGACAGAGCGAGACUCUAUCUCAA
Molecule: non-coding RNA, 149 nt
Organism: Gorilla gorilla gorilla (western lowland gorilla)
Lineage: Eukaryota; Metazoa; Chordata; Mammalia; Primates; Hominidae
Rfam family: Metazoan signal recognition particle RNA
About the family: The signal recognition particle (SRP) is a universally conserved ribonucleoprotein. It is involved in the co-translational targeting of proteins to membranes. The eukaryotic SRP consists of a 300-nucleotide 7S RNA and six proteins: SRPs 72, 68, 54, 19, 14, and 9.
Source: Rfam